UUCUCAUAGUUGAAGGACAACGGUGGCUUUUCGUGCCAGUAGUCGUGGUUAUAGUCCAUGUGAGAAUA
RNAcentral lists this transfer RNA (68 nucleotides) under Murina leucogaster (Greater tube-nosed bat). RNAcentral's name for it is "tRNA-Glu". It matches the Rfam family "tRNA". Rfam says of the family: Transfer RNA (tRNA) molecules are approximately 80 nucleotides in length. Lineage: Eukaryota; Metazoa; Chordata; Mammalia; Chiroptera; Vespertilionidae. The record is from RNAcentral.